AUACGUAGGGUGCGAGCGUUAAUCGGAAUUACUGGGCGUAAAGCGUGCGCAGGCGGCGCUGUAAGACAGAUGUGAAAUCCCCGGGCUUAACCUGGGAACUGCAUUUGUGACUGCAGUGCUAGAGUGUGUCAGAGGGGGGUGGAAUUCCACGUGUAGCAGUGAAAUGCGUAGAGAUGUGGAGGAACACCGAUGGCGAAGGCAGCCCCCUGGGAUAACACUGACGCUCAGGCACGAAAGCGUGGGGAGCAAACAGGAUUGGAUACCCUGGUAGUCCACGCCCUAAACGAUGUCUACUAGUUGUCGGGGAUUUAUUUCCUUGGUAACGCAGCUAACGCGUGAAGUAGACCGCCUGGGGAGUACGGCCGCAAGGUUAAA
RNAcentral lists this ribosomal RNA (375 nucleotides) under uncultured bacterium. RNAcentral's name for it is "bacterial SSU rRNA". It matches the Rfam family "Bacterial small subunit ribosomal RNA", at positions 523 to 898 of the family's 1533-position model. The record is from RNAcentral.